GGCCCCAGGAACAGGGGCUUUAUCUGUUCCCAUGGGCCCCUCACCCCAGACGAGGAGGAGCUACAGAUGCUGUUCUUCUCUGAGACUCUGGCCAUGGUCUCAGACACCGGGGAGCCUCAGGGAGAGCUGACCAUUGAGGUGCAGAGAGGGAAAUACCAGGAAAAACUCGGCGUGCUGACAUACUGCCUCUUCGUGCAUGCCUCUAGCCGAGGCUUCUUGGACAAAAUGCUCUGCGGAAAUUCCCUCCUGGGUAGCGUUCCUGCUGCCUGAUGCCCGUCACCCUCCCCUUCCUCCACCCCUCCCCUCCACCAUUCCUAGAAUCUUUUUUCAGGACCAAGCCCUUGGCUUUGCCUUGGACCAGGACAAGGCACAGGGUGGGGGAGGGACGAGCGAGUUCCUCAUGGACUCAGGAUGAGGGCACCUCUUACCCAUCCUGUAGUUUUUCUAGGACCGUAUUACACCUAGUCCUCCAGCCUGCGCCACCACCUUCCCUUCCUUCAGCCUCUGACCCACAUCUCCUGUGAUGUUAAUGCCUGUGUUCCUGCACCCCAGGCUACCUCUCAGAGAAGCUGGAGCUCAUGGAACAGCACAGCCAAGACUUCAUCAAGUUCCUCAUCCUCCCCAUGGAACGGAAGACGAGUUUGCUGAAGCAGGAUGAUCAGCUGG
RNAcentral lists this small RNA (666 nucleotides) under Pongo abelii (Sumatran orangutan). RNAcentral describes it as "retained intron". The record is from RNAcentral. Lineage: Eukaryota; Metazoa; Chordata; Mammalia; Primates; Hominidae.